This is a long non-coding RNA of Homo sapiens (human), 1174 nucleotides long. Ensembl annotates it as cancer susceptibility 15. Its record names the gene CASC15. The record is from Ensembl. NCBI's taxonomy places the organism in Eukaryota, Metazoa, Chordata, Mammalia, Primates, Hominidae.
UGUCAAGUGGAAGUGUGAAGCACCACAAACUGCUCUGAGCAGAGCCCACUUCCCUUCACCCACGGAGAGCGUGAAGCAGUUACACCAACAUCAAUCAAGGAAAACCCACAGGCUGAGCUCACACGGUUGAAGCAGGAAGUUGAAGAUUUGUCCAGGAGCAGAUAGCUGAAGAGAGAGAGAGAGAAGAGAGAACGGCUUACAGCUCAGGUCCUCUCUCCAUGCUUAGGAACCACUACAAAUGCUACUGCCUUGAGUCUCAUUUUGUUUCCCUCUGGAAACCACAUGUGUACCUUGUUUGCAACAGUAUGGUUGGAAAACUUUAAUAUGAGAUUGAAGAUAUGAUUUGCUUUCUGGAUUGUUGUAUGCUACUAAAACCGAAGAAAGAGAAGGAAAAAUGGAUGAAUCGACGGACCAUAUCACCCUGGCACCUAUAUCAGCUCAAAAACUGAAGGAAAUACCCCUUUCCUGCCCUCUCUUUGACUAAUGCUAUAGACUCUGAGUCAGUAGUUCCUGGUGGGACCUGAGAGUCCACAUUCCUGAUGAGCUCCAGGUGUUCCCAUGCUGCUGCCCCUCUGACCACACUUAGAAUAAGAAGGCUUGAAAUGAAAUCUGAGAAAUCAGCCUCUUGAUUCCAAUUUUAAACAUGCAAUUGAUUCUUGUAAUUUUUCAUUCUUGUCAAAAUGCAUACCAGUAAGUUUGUAAUCAGUAUUGGCAUGCUUAAAAGAAUUUAAGACUUGUUAUAUUUGUCAUUUUAAUUUAUUUAAACUUUAAAGAUUUGUUCAGAACUUGGAAAGAUUUUGCUUAAGCUCAUAAAUUUACCCACUCAGGCAUAUGAGAUAGGGUACUUUGAUUUAUAAAUGAAGUUUAAAAUUAAGGGAAUUUAAUUAAGUUUUCAAAAUGAGAUUGGUUGUUUUAAGGGGAAUUUACUUUGUGUAACUUGAGUUCAUCAAACGCUAAUCCAAGUUCCCUGCAAAACCUGUUCUGUUUUAUAUAACAUUUACUCGUUUUAGAAAUAGAUGAGAUUUGCAAAUUGAACCUAAAGACUUAAGGCAAAUUAUGUAUCUUUUUAUACUUUAAUAAAGAAAAAUAAAAUAAAUUUGAAACACAAAUAACUCUAACUGGCCCUUUUUAUGUAAAAAGAAGUCCUUGAAUAAAAUUUACCUUGACAGCACUA